RNAcentral lists this ribosomal RNA (484 nucleotides) under uncultured bacterium. Its description in RNAcentral is "partial 16S ribosomal RNA". It matches the Rfam family "Bacterial small subunit ribosomal RNA", at positions 30 to 507 of the family's 1533-position model. The record is from RNAcentral.
AUUGAACGCUGGCGGCAGGCCUAACACAUGCAAGUCGAGCGGAUGAAGGGAGCUUGCUCCUGGAUUCAGCGGCGGACGGGUGAGUAAUGCCUAGGAAUCUGCCUGGUAGUGGGGGAUAACGUCCGGAAACGGGCGCUAAUACCGCAUACGUCCUGAGGGAGAAAGUGGGGGAUCUUCGGACCUCACGCUAUCAGAUGAGCCUAGGUCGGAUUAGCUAGUUGGUGGGGUAAAGGCCUACCAAGGCGACGAUCCGUAACUGGUCUGAGAGGAUGAUCAGUCACACUGGAGCUUAGACACGGUCCAGACUCCUACGGGAGGCACCAGUGGGGAAUAUUGGACAGUGGGCGAAAGCCUGAUCCAGCCAUGCCGCGUGUGUGAAGAAGGUCUUCGGAUUGUAAAGCACUUUAAGUUGGGAGGAAGGGCAGUAAGUUAAUACCUUGCUGUUUUGACGUUACCAACAGAAUAAGCACCGGCUAACUUCGUG